UAGAAGGUCUGCUCCCCAUCAAGAUCCUCCAGAGAUGGAGUUGAUGAUCCCAAUUAGGGGCCGAUCUCUGGGCUGCUCUUCCCUCCUCAGCGGCUCAGGUUGUGGCAGGGUCCUUGGCCGAUCUUCUCUACCCUCAGGCCGGCGUCGAAUGAACCUGUCGAGCUGACCUCAUCUGAUGAGCUCCUCGAUCUCAUCUCAGAGUUGAAUGCAUUUCUCUGUGUCGUGACCGUGGUCACGAUGGUAGAGGCAGAACUUGUUAGGAUUGCACUU
Molecule: long non-coding RNA, 270 nt
Filed under: Elaeis guineensis (African oil palm)
Lineage: Eukaryota; Viridiplantae; Streptophyta; Magnoliopsida; Arecales; Arecaceae
Description: long non-coding RNA (EGUI_LNC049666)
Source: RNAcentral